Carcharodon carcharias (great white shark) is the source of this 549-nucleotide long non-coding RNA. RefSeq lists it as uncharacterized. The transcript is spliced from 3 exons. The record is from RefSeq and is a predicted model, not a curated record. Lineage: Eukaryota; Metazoa; Chordata; Chondrichthyes; Lamniformes; Lamnidae.
CUCGAAACGUCAACUCUUUUCUUCUCCGCCGAUGCUGCCAGACCUGCUGAGUUUUUCCAGGAAAACACCCAAGCUACUGUAUUGGAGAAGGAGUGAACCGUCGCCUGUGUCAUGAUUUUUGUAUAAUGUUGGACGUUGGUGGAAUACAGAGGGGAGAUAUGUAGUGAAAAUGCAUCAGAGAAAUGAAAGCCUGAUACUAGCUCUGAAAGAAAUGGGCCUUUAAAAAGAUACAUUGUAAAAGAUCACACAGCGGAGGAUGGAUCACCAUAGCAACAAGAACAUGACCAGGCCGGGUGGAGGUCAUUUUAAACACCUGCAAAGCUGGACACUGACAAAAAAAAAGUGGUGUGCAUUAAAUGUGGGCUGUAUUUAUUAGAGCCCAUUGUUGAUUAACCAUCACUGCAAAAUUGUGGCUCCUGGUGAGAAAAAGCUCCUUUAAAGCCAGGCAGCAUUCAGAGUAAAAAGAGACACAGUUCCACCUUAACUGCUUCAACAUUGCUUUUCACUCCCUAGCAGCUCCACCUCACCUGGUAUCUUUGGGAUGAAUUU